AGAACGAACGCUGGCGGCAUGCCUAAUACAUGCAAGUCGAACGAAGGCUUCGGCCUUAGUGGCGCACGGGUGCGUAACGCGUGGGAAUCUGCCCCUUGGUUCGGAAUAACAGUUGGAAACGACUGCUAAUACCGGAUGAUGACGAAAGUCCAAAGAUUUAUCGCCAAGGGAUGAGCCCGCGUAGGAUUAGCUAGUUGGUGAGGUAAAGGCUCACCAAGGCGACGAUCCUUAGCUGGUCUGAGAGGAUGAUCAGCCACACUGGGACUGAGACACGGCCCAGACUCCUACGGGAGGCAGCAGUAGGGAAUAUUGGACAAUGGGCAAAGCCUGAUCCAGCAAUGCCGCGUGAGUGAUGAAGGCCUUAGGUUGUAAAGCUCUUUUACCCGAGAUGAUAAUGACAGUAUCGGAGAAUAAGCCCCGGCAACUCCGUGCCAGCAGCCGC
This 442-nucleotide ribosomal RNA is filed under the name uncultured soil bacterium. RNAcentral describes it as "bacterial SSU rRNA". It matches the Rfam family "Bacterial small subunit ribosomal RNA", at positions 26 to 518 of the family's 1533-position model. The record is from RNAcentral.